UACGGAAUGUGCAAACGUUAUUCGGAAUCACUGGGCUUAAAGAGUCCGUAGGCGGCUUGUUAGGUGAGGUGUGAAAUCCCUCGGCCCAACCGAGGAAUUGCGCUUCAAACCGGCAAGCUAGAGGAGGAUAGAGGUGGGCGGAACUGAUGGUGGAGCGGUGAAAUGCGUUGAUAUCAUCAGGAACACCGGAGGCGAAGGCGGUCCACUGGGUCCUUUCUGACGCUGAGGGACGAAAGCGUGGGGAGCGAACAGG
RNAcentral lists this ribosomal RNA (253 nucleotides) under uncultured bacterium. Its description in RNAcentral is "partial 16S ribosomal RNA". It matches the Rfam family "Bacterial small subunit ribosomal RNA", at positions 524 to 776 of the family's 1533-position model. The record is from RNAcentral.